UACAGAGGGGGCAAGCGUUGUUCGGAAUUACUGGGCGUAAAGGGCGCGUAGGCGGCCUGUUAAGUCGAACGUGAAAUCCCCGGGCUCAACCCCGGGAACUGCGUCCGAUACUGGCAGGCUUGAAUCCGGGAGAGGGAUGCGGAAUUCCAGGUGUAGCGGUGAAAUGCGUAGAUAUCUGGAGGAACACCGGUGGCGAAGGCGGCAUCCGUGGACCGGCAUUGACGCUGAGGCGCGAAAGCCAGGG
Molecule: ribosomal RNA, 244 nt
Filed under: uncultured bacterium
Lineage: Bacteria
Description: partial 16S ribosomal RNA
Rfam family: Bacterial small subunit ribosomal RNA
Source: RNAcentral